Molecule: ribosomal RNA, 498 nt
Filed under: uncultured bacterium
Lineage: Bacteria
Description: bacterial SSU rRNA
Rfam family: Bacterial small subunit ribosomal RNA
Source: RNAcentral
CCUACGGGAGGCAGCAGUAAGGAAUAUUGGUCAAUGGGGGCAACCCUGAACCAGCCAUGCCGCGUGCAGGAUGAAGGCCCUAUGGGUCGUAAACUGCUUUUAUACCGGAGAAAACCACCGUACGUGUACGGUGUUGAUAGUAUGGUAAGAAUAAGCAUCGGCUAACUUCGUGCCAGCAGCCGCGGUAAGACGAAGGAUGCAAGCGUUAUCCGGAUUCAUUGGGUUUAAAGGGUGCGUAGGCGGACCUGUAAGUCAGUGGUGAAAUCUCUUUGCUUAACAAGAAACUGCCAUUGAUACUGCAAGUCUAGAGUAUAGAUGACGUUGGCGGAAUAUGACAUGUAGUGGUGAAAUACCUUAGAUAUGUCAUAGAACACCGAUUGCGAAGGCAGCUAACGAACUAUAACUGACGCUGAGGCACGAAAGUNCGGGGAUCAAACAGGAUUAGAUACCCUGGUAGUCCGNACCGUAACGANNAUACUCUGUGUNAUAUNCGUCGCG